GAUGAACGCUGGCGGUGUGCCUAAUACAUGCAAGUCGAGCGAACAGACGAGGAGCUUGCUCCUCUGACGUUAGCGGCGGACGGGUGAGUAACACGUGGUUAACCUACCUAUAAGACUGGGAUAACUUCGGGAAACCGGAGCUAAUACCGGAUAAUAUAUUGAACCGCAUGGUUCAAUAGUGAAAGACGGUUUUGCUGUCACUUAUAGAUGGAUCCGCGCCGCAUUAGCUAGUUGGUAAGGUAACGGCUUACCAAGGCAACGAUGCGUAGCCGACCUGAGAGGGUGAUCGGCCACACUGGAACUGAGACACGGUCCAGACUCCUACGGGAGGCAGCAGUAGGGAAUCUUCCGCAAUGGGCGAAAGCCUGACGGAGCAACGCCGCGUGAGUGAUGAAGGUCCUCGGAUCGUAAAACUCUGUUAUUAGGGAAGAACAAAUGUGUAAGUAACUAUGCACGUCUUGACGGUACCUAAUCAGAAAGCCACGGCUAACUACGUG
This 497-nucleotide ribosomal RNA is filed under the name uncultured bacterium. RNAcentral's name for it is "partial 16S ribosomal RNA". It matches the Rfam family "Bacterial small subunit ribosomal RNA", at positions 28 to 507 of the family's 1533-position model. The record is from RNAcentral.